AGAAAGAUAGCGACAUCAAUAGCUUUCUGAUUUUUUUUUUUAACUUAACAGCUGCAGUGAAAAGAGAAGAUGAUAGGCACAAUGAAAGAAAAAGUCAGAGAAGGCUAAAAAAGAGGAGAUCUGGACAAAAAGAAAGGAAUCCUAAAAGAAGAUUUCAUUCAUAGACAUAGAUGGAGAAGUAUUAGAAACUAAUCCAGAAAACAAAUGAGAACUGUGUAUGUAGAAACUACUUUUGUAAAUUAGAUGCUCUACUAAGGAAGGCAACCCAAAAUGAAAUACAGUCAGGAUCCGUAAAUUGGAUGAGUGAGUUGAAACUUCCCUAACCCUCCCAGAUUCCAUCUCUUUUCUCUUACAUUAUGCUUCCAGGUACAUUUAUGAAAGUGCUUCUUGGUCUAAUUUGCUCACAUCCUUGAGAAUAUGAAGAUGAAUGUGAAUUUGAAUUUUGAGGAACUCCCCAGCUUUUAAGGGGCAAUAAAUUUGAAAGCAAAUAAGCACAAGAGAGUGACAUCAGCUUCUGGAACACUGGUCUCCUCCUGCCCUCAAACUGGGCCAUCCACCAUCGUGUUUCUGGUCCUCAGGCCUUCAGAUUCAGGCUGGAACUAC
Molecule: long non-coding RNA, 603 nt
Filed under: Equus caballus (horse)
Lineage: Eukaryota; Metazoa; Chordata; Mammalia; Perissodactyla; Equidae
Description: lncRNA (ENSECAG00000053943.1)
Source: RNAcentral